RNAcentral lists this non-coding RNA (90 nucleotides) under Phaeomonas parva. Lineage: Eukaryota; Pinguiophyceae; Pinguiochrysidales; Pinguiochrysidaceae. The record is from RNAcentral.
AGACGCUGGUGGAAAACCUCAAGACCGACCUCGACGAUUCGCUCACCAUCGAUGAGCUCAACCAGCAUGUCGCGGACAUGACCGCCGACA